GUCGACAACCCCUAGUCCCGAGCAACCCCGGAAGGUAGCACGAACUUGCACGCGUCCUCUACGCGGAUUUUAGGUCACUCUGUAAGUCCAGGCGGUCGCGGGCGCCAAGCGGGGAUAGAUGUCGUCGAGGGUGUCGGGUCGUCGGUCGGUCUAUCGGUCGGUCAGUCGGUCGGACGGAUAAAUCGGAGCGCGUUAUCCCGCGUGGCGACUACCGCGAUUCCGCUCUCGGGGAUGAAGAAGACGAGACAAUCACCUGACUGGCAACGCGACUUCAGGUCUGAUCAUCUCUCGCCUCUCGUUUUGUCCGCGAAGGAUUUUCCCGCGGGUAUAUAAAAGAAACUGAGUCUCCUCUUCGCGGAUCUCGUUAGCGGGUCAGCUUUCUCGCUUUCUCUUUGAGCCGGUCCGUUACUUUGCGCUGCUGAGACGAAUGUUGUUCCUUGCGUUAUCCUCCGGUGUACGUUCAAAGCACGAAGAUAUAUAAUUAGGUUGACAGGCAGAAUUCUUUUGGUCAAGCGCGUGUUUCCGUUGAAUCACGUUCGAAUCAAGCCGAAUUGUAAUCGUCGUCCAUCACGUGACUGUGCCGUUGCCAGUGAUAGCAAAGCGCGAAAUUAGCGUUGGGGAAAAUAGCAUUCUGAUUUCUUUUCACGGGACUCGUGUUUCCUCCGCGUGAAAGUUCCGCAAGGUCGAGAGCUGAUCGUAGUCGCGGAGCAAAAAGGGACUUGAAUUCAUCACUCGAUCGCAAUAUGGUUGUUAAAUCCGGGAAUAUCUGAGAAUCCCUCGGGAACCGUUUGAGAAUCCUUAGGGAGGGAGAUAGGUAGGAAGGAACGAGGGAUUUUCGCGCCUUGGGUGAUCAAGUUUCCGCUAAGUGACAUCCGCGUAGAAUCAUCCGGCGAAGGUAAUAGGAAACGAGAUCGGGUCACCUUGCAGCAACGCAAUCGCCGGAUAGACAUAUAUAUAUAUAUAUAUAUAUAUAGUCGAGUCUCGUUUGAUUUAGCUGGGGAUUUUAAGGGCAAAAGACGGCGGGAGCAAAAGUUUUCUAUAGUCGAGUUUCCGUCAGGCGACACCUGCGUGGAAUCAUCCGCCCAGGAUCAGGCGAAAAGAGUCGGCGUCCCCUUCCCCCUUGCAGUAAGUUGUUAUCACGUUUAUCGGCUCGUCGCAUUUGUGUCUCGCUCGGUUGAGAGAAAAGGAGUUAAAUAUCACAAGUCCGCGUCUCGCGUCCACUUGCUUUUUCGCGUCGACUUGAGCGCGCGAAAUUUUACCUCGCGCACAGCGCGGUGGAAUCAUUCGUCACGCGGCGGGAUCAUCCGGGAACAUUCGCGACAUUAUCUCACGCCGAGAUGGACGCGUCGCGCGAGCAUCGCGCGGAUUUCCGGCGAGUGAGACCGUGUGAGACCCGCGCCACGUUGGCCGAUACGUCUCCAUUAUUCGAUCAGUAGUCCGCGGGGGCCGUAAAAAGCGCGGGCAUUAAUUAAAUUCCCGUGCCGGCAGCGCGGCCGAGUUUCCACGCGCGCGCGUACUGUCGCAACAUUCGUUACGUUCUCCCACAACGAUAUAUCGUCGCCGUUGCCGUCGUUUGUCUUCAAAUGACCCGGCGUUGACGAUGGCACCUGUCCGUGUGUCAUGCGGGCGCAUAACACGUCACGUGGGCGCACACUGGUUGUCGGUGCGCAGAUAGAUUGCACGUGACAGCUCGGCCUCCUGACGAUCGGCGUCAGCGAAAAGUGGGGUCAUCGCGCUUUAAACCGCGCGCCGCGGAAACACACACGCACGUCGCCCGGACUCGCGCGCCUCGCUCCUCCGGCUUGCUCGCGGAUCGCCGACGUCAGGCCGCGCACGGCGGACUCGUCAGGGGCUGACCAGCGAGGAAACCGAGCUGGACGGAUCGAGAGAGUCGACGACAACUCGAAAAAUCCACCACGUUGCUUCCACUCGACGCGAUGCUACUCCUGCCGUGUCCUUCUUCGUCGGUGACACACAUGGCGUUUCCUCUUGGCGAGUUUUCCCGACCGGCACGAGAUUGUGUCGCGCCACGGUAUCGGCCCGACCGACCGACCGACCAACCAACCAACCGACCAACCGACCAACCAAUCGACUAAAAAGAAUCAGCCAGACAGCCCGCCUGGCUGUAAAAGUAGCCACUGGAAAUAAUUAAGAAUUCGCAAAAUUACAGAUCUAUCCUACCCAGUAUCGGCGAAGUUGCAGCAAUCUUUUCACGAUUUCCCGCCCCUCUCUCGCUUUUUAUUCUAUUACAGAAAGACAUUGAAGUCCGAUAAAAGGAUCUAAUCUUCCUUUUGCAAGUUGUAACUAUGGUCGUGGAGCUAUGUCCAUUGACCAUUCUUCUUGCAAGAAAUCCUGUCGCGAGGUUGCUUGCGAUAAUUUAUACGCUUCAAUUAGCGACGCAAUUAAUAGCCGUACACAUGAUUAGAUAACUCACUGAUGUGUGACCGUUCAAGAAUUAUACGAGGUUUUCCGAUUGAUUCACCAAGAAUUUACUUAUCUUGUAGAUAGUAGAUUCUUGCGAACACAUAUAGUUGUACAAUCAGUGUAUUUCUAUCUCAUAUAAAUUUUUACCGAUAAUAUACAUAAAUAAUAAGUUGACAGAAUAAUUUUGCUUUAUUAGAACUAAUAUAAUAAUGAAUCAAUUAUCCGCUUCUCGAUACAGUUGUCUGAGUCAUAAGGAAAUCCUCGUAAUUAUAAACCCUCACUGAACUCUCUAAGGCCGAGGCAUCAAUCCCGUUGUAAGAACGGUAACGUUCAAAAAGUUGGCCUGGAUAAAUUUUAGCAAUGUUUAGGCUUCUGGGUUCAAUGUUGACACGCCGCGUCUCUCCAAAUUAGAAUUCAAAUUUCACGGAGGCGAAACGAAGCGGAGCGUUAAGCGAUAGUAGCGCGAUAAAAUGAAUUUUGGCAUGCUCUUUCACGAUCGCUUCGAUUCCUAUUCAAGGAGGAUUCCUUAUUCUCCCUCAGGAACGUAGAAAUCGUCUGCGCAGUCUCUGGAAGUCGACAAAGUUUUAUUGGUCGAAGCUCCGUACGUGAUCGGAAUAGAAAUCGCUGCACCGCGAUCGCGCCCGCGGAUCACUUUACAAAUGUGUAAAAGCGACGAUAUAAUGUAAAGUCCUUCUUGAACAAAUUAAACGCCCUUCGACGAAGACGGCCGGGAGAAGUACAUUUUCAGCGGGAAAUAAAAAAAAAAUAUACACGACGUCGCUCUCUUUUAUUAUUCGUAUUCCGCCAAUACAGUACAUUUUAUUCGGUGAAAUCGCGGUUUUCAGGUUCGUGAUUCUGCUUCUUAAUUCUCAAUUACGACUGUCGCGUUCGUAACGUGAAUUGUGAGUAACAUUUGUGGACAGUUGAGGCGAUGUUUUUUCACCGAGACGGCAACAACUGAGUAUUUUAUUAGUUUAUAAUAUAUAGUUUUAUAUUUUAAUAUCCUAUAUAUAUUAAAAGAAGUACGUUUUGAAAUCUUUCUCAACAAAAGCGACCAACGAAAAGUCUAAAUUUACCAGAGGACAUUCUGGGAUUAAAUAAGAACUACUAUCUUAUCAUUGAGAGACUUCCUAUUAUUUGAUAUAUUACUUUUAUCUAUUUUCUUUCUUAUGUUGAACGGUUCAUAGAUACAGUUAUAAACAUGACCAGUUGGAAAUUAUACUGUUGUUCCAAUUAAUACAACUAAAAAUUGGACAACUAAAAAUAUUAGCUGCAGGAGCAAAUUUUCUUGGUUUUAUAGCAAAGUUACUUAGUUGUGAU
Odontomachus brunneus is the source of this 3744-nucleotide long non-coding RNA. RefSeq lists it as uncharacterized. Lineage: Eukaryota; Metazoa; Arthropoda; Insecta; Hymenoptera; Formicidae. The record is from RefSeq and is a predicted model, not a curated record. The transcript has 4 exons.